RNAcentral lists this ribosomal RNA (468 nucleotides) under uncultured bacterium. RNAcentral's name for it is "partial 16S ribosomal RNA". It matches the Rfam family "Bacterial small subunit ribosomal RNA", at positions 28 to 507 of the family's 1533-position model. The record is from RNAcentral.
GACGAACGCUGGCGGCGUGCUUAACACAUGCAAGUCGAACGGAAAGGCCCUGCUUUUGUGGGGUGCUCGAGUGGCGAACGGGUGAGUAACACGUGAGUAACCUGCCCUUGACUGUGGGAUAACUUCAGGAAACUGGGGCUAAUACCGGAUAGGAGCUCCUGCUGCAUGGUGGGGGUUGGAAAGUUUCGGCGGUUGGGGAUGGAAUGGCGGCUUAUCAGCUUGUUGGUGGGGUAGUGGCUUACCAAGGCUUUGACGGGUAGCCGGCCUGAGAGGGUGACCGGCCACAUUGGGACUGAGAUACGGCCCAGACUCCUACGGGAGGCAGCAGUGGGGAAUAUUGCAUAAUGGGCGGAAGGCUGAUGCAGCAACGCAGCGUGCGGGAUGACGGCCUUCGGGUUGUAAACCGCUUUCGCCUGUGACGAAGCGUGAGUGACGGUAAUGGGUAAAGAAGCACCGGCUAACUACGUG